GACAGAAGGUGCAAGCGUUACUCGGAAUUACUGGGCGUAAAGCGUCUGUAGGUGUCUUGCCACGUCUGGUCACAAAAUGCGGGGCUCAACCCCGCAUCCUGACUGGAAACGAGCGAGAUCGAGUCAUUCAGAGGCAUCUGGAAUGUCGUGUGUAGGGGUAAAAUCCGUAGAUACACGAUGGAACGCCAAAAGCGAAAGCAGGAUGCUGGGAAUGCACUGACACUCAGAGACGAAAGCGUGGGGAGCAAAGGGG
Molecule: ribosomal RNA, 253 nt
Filed under: uncultured bacterium
Lineage: Bacteria
Description: partial 16S ribosomal RNA
Rfam family: Bacterial small subunit ribosomal RNA
Source: RNAcentral